Molecule: long non-coding RNA, 683 nt
Organism: Camelina sativa (false flax)
Lineage: Eukaryota; Viridiplantae; Streptophyta; Magnoliopsida; Brassicales; Brassicaceae
Source: RefSeq, a predicted model, not a curated record
AUUAUCAUUUCUCUUCUUCCUCUCUUUCUCGACGGAGGUUCCAGCAAAAUCCAAGAGAUUCCUCUCACAAUUUGAUUGCAAGCAGAGAAGAUUGAUUCAAUUUUGGGUGGCCUCUGGUGCAUGAUCAUAUCUCUGUAAAAGAUUCCUAACAAGAUUCGUUAAAAAGUCAAAAACUUUUUUCCAGCUCUCCGGCUUUGCGACAACGGCGGAAAUGAACAUGCAUGGAAUUCUGUCUUUGGCUGUGUUCCGUCGUUAGUAGCGGAUCUAGCCAUGGAAUCGGGAAUGUGACAGAUACUGACGAUAAGAUCUCGUGACUCGAAAGUCAGUUGUCGGCGAAGUCUCCUUCGCAGCUUCUCAUGGUCCCUCUCACCUUGAUUCAGUGUGCCUUGAUGGAACACUACCUGGUUAUCAUAUACACCGUGGUUCUGGAUCUGGAGCUAACAGGUGGCUAAUCCAACUCGAGGAAGAGACCAGAAAAACAGGGAUGCUCGUGACUUAAAAGACAUGUUACAAGCUCUUCAAAGGAAGAAACAAGAAAACAGGGACUUGAUUACAACUAAACUUUUUCCCCACUUGUGAUUGCUGUUUCUAUUUUUAUAUGCUUUUAUAUUUUGUAUGUUUAAACGUUUAUGAAUUUGUGAUUUCUGCUUCUAUUUUUAUAUGCUUUUAUGUUUUGUAUGUUU